Molecule: non-coding RNA, 3118 nt
Organism: Callithrix jacchus (white-tufted-ear marmoset)
Lineage: Eukaryota; Metazoa; Chordata; Mammalia; Primates; Cebidae
Source: RefSeq, a predicted model, not a curated record
CACUGCAUGGCUGUUGGAUGUGAACCAGAGCUGUCUGCGGAGCUGGCGCCAGCACCCCCGUGACCGCCGGCGCCAAUGACAGAGGCAUCCAGAUUAGUGUCCUCUCUGCCCUGCAUUCCCAGGUCGCAGCCACCCGGCUGUCAGGGCAGGGAAGGCACAUGCUGGCCUCUGGCCGGUCCUAUCCCAACCAUCCUUCUCAAAGAGCAGGCACUUCUCAGCUCCACAGCGGUCAGGACUGUGGUGUUCACAGCACGGAAAGCUGGAGGACUCAUGUCCUGCCUGUCCUCCCACAGCUCUGCCAGGGGACCCAGCAGGGUGGUUCUGGAAACUCAGGGGCUGCUCAGGCUGCACAGAGAGCCUGGAGCCCCUCAAGCCUGUGUGGAGCAGAAGCCUCUGCCUCUGACAACGCCCCAGAGAAGCUCAUGCAUGACAGAGGCCCCACAGCCUUGGAUGUCAUCCAAAGGGAUGUUGUUGGAAAGGCUGCACCAUGGCAGGGGGUUUGACGCUGACUCCUGCUCCCCCUUCCCCUGUGGCUCUUCUCACCUCCACCUGCACCUCGGUCCCCUGUCUACCGAGGGAGCCUCCAUCACAAGGACAGUUGAAGAACUCACAGAGAGAAAGGGGACCUGGGUGGACCCAGGAGAGGACAGGAUACCAAAUGUACCCCUGCCCCAGGGAGUCAGGACCUCGGAGCCAAGUGUCGGUGGAGAAGCAGCUGGGCCACAGCAUUGAGCACUCAACCUGCAGCCAGGAUCCUUCACUAGUAAAGAAACUGGUACCCGGAUGCUUGCGGCUAAGAGACCAGCAGGAAGGUGGGAGGAGAGCUGGACUGGGCAUUUCACCUGGUUGAAGCCAAAAGCAGUGGAAAUACAUUAGCACUGUGGAAGAUGUGGAAUUCUGGCAUCUCACUGUCUGCAUGGUCAGCCCCAGAAUAAAUUAUCAAUGGUGGCCAAGUGAUGACUGGGUGCUUUUGAGCGGGGAAACGGCUCUUGCUACAAAAUCCAAAUGAAAGGCAUGAAGAAUCCCAGGACUGCCAGGUGUGCGUGCUGCUUCUAACUGCCCUGGACAGCUUAAAGUGGGAAUAACACACUCAGUCCUGGCAGGGCUCUCUGCCACUCUACAUAAAGUGUGAGUAUCUCUUCUCUCCUGCAGCCACCAGCCUGAGAUAUCCCUGGACCAAAAAAGCAGUCUGACUCCAGCAAUCUGCAGACUGGCAUGUUACAAAGCCACAAGGAUGUGUUGUUUUCUAGCUCCUUGAGUGACAGUCAGAGUACAGUUUGGGAGAGAGCGGGACCCUCGCCACAGGAGUGGGAACACGUUGUGGGCUCACAAUCCCACUGAGCCCUCACUUCUCUCCCUGGCUGCUUCAGGCUGUUAUGCCUUCCCCAGCGAGUCACCCUGUAGAGUGAGGCAUGCUCUGCUCAUGCCCACCCUGCCCCUUUCCCUGCCUUCAGGCCGACGAGCAGAGUCAGACCCCAGCAUGGCCAGGGGAACUGAUCACAAGUGAAACCACCGAGGAAGACUCAUACUUCAGAGAAGGAUGACUGUGCCAACACACACCAGCAAAAACCCCAGAGAAUGAUGAGAACGAGUUUGGAACGUCCCCGACCAUGGGGGAAGAGCAUCACCCCACCCCAGGCUGCUGUGGGUGCGCCUGCCAUGCUGGAGUUCGAGAGUCAACAGGUGAGCUGUUGCUUCCCUGAAGCCUCAGCUUGAUAAUGGGCCCACAAGGUGAAACUGAAAAGCCAAAAUCCCCUGAAGGAAUCCAAAUAUCCAAAGGGAUACAGUGUUGAUGGAGACCCAUCAGAAACAACCAGUAUGUGCAGUGUCCCUAACCAUGUCUUCAGAGGAGCCAAAAAGACCUGCACCAGCCUGAAGCACCAAGAAACACUUAGGAAGGAGAACGCCAUCAGCUUGGAAUAUUGCCACAGACACUGCUCUCUGUCAGCUAGAGAUGCUGAUGGGAGACCUUCUCAUUGGUGGAAACUCUACAGGUGAGAACCGUGAGGCCAGCAUGGGCCAGCACGACAGAGGAUGGGAGGAAGCAUUCAGGUGCCGGCAGCCAGAGGGGCACCAGGAUGUUCUAUGCUGAGGCUCCUUGGCACUGAUGACUCACUCAUGGCACUGCCAGGACUGAAAUCCACAGGUAAUGCCAAUAGAGUCCUAUUUGAUGUGUGUAACAUUAAUAGAAAUGUGAAAAAACCAACUUUUAAAAACUAGAUCUGUAGGCAGGAGUCUACUAUGAGUGCCUAGAACAAUAUCUGGUGCUUAGUAGGUGUUCAACAAAUAUUUACUGACUGAAUAAACUCCAUUGCCCCUUGCCCAAUUCCCAGAUUUCACUCAAUAGACACAAAGCUCCUUGAGUUGUGGGGAGGCUGGUCACCUGUGUAACAGCACAGGCUUAUGCUGUGAAUCUUCCAGAGCUCCUGGACAGAGAAGCACCUGGACCUCCCAGCAUCUCUGAGGGCUGAUUCUGAGCUGACACUAUUCCUGGCGACCCACCACCAGGAGGGAGGCUUGCUGGAGGCAGCGGUACGCAGGCCAUGAUGAGAGCUGUGCCCUAGGUCCACCUCAUGGCAGCCCACUGGAAUUGCAAACCUGUCCUGUGGCAAUUCCCCCAGCUCCCAAGUGCUCAGGUGACAAACACACGCCAACACCUGGCAGGAACUCUAUCCUGGCUCCCUGGGCCAUAGUGUGGAGGCUUCUGCAGUGGGAGAGACUAACUGGAAGGCUCUGCAACACCCGCGCCUUCAAAAUAGGGGCUCGUUAGCAAAGCUUCAUCCCCGGAGACUGAGGAACCGCCAGCACUCAAAGCAGGAGACGCUGCCGCAUCCCCUCACCUGCCAGGACGCCACCUCCGGUGUGCACGUCGGAAAGUGGGGAGCAACAAGGGUGUCCCCACCCACCCGGUGCCCAGGGGACCGCCCGGGGCGCCCCGGCCAGCGCAGGCUGUGCUCCGCCCCACCCGCGCAGUGCGCCGCGAACCCGACCCCGAGCCCGGACGUCUGCUCUUACCUUGAAGAAGCUCCGGAGGAAGUGCACGACGCUGAGCAUGGUGGCCGCCAGGGCGCCCGGAGCCCGCCAGCAGCAUGACUAGCCGGGCCGCCGAGCCGGCUUC